GACGAACGCUGGCGGCGUGCCUAAUACAUGCAAGUUGAGCGAUGAAGAUUGGUGCUUGCACCAAUUUGAAGAGCAGCGAACGGGUGAGUAACGCGUGGGGAAUCUGCCUUUGAGCGGGGGACAACAUUUGGAAACGAAUGCUAAUACCGCAUAACAACUUUAAACAUAAGUUUUAAGUUUGAAAGAUGCAAUUGCAUCACUCAAAGAUGAUCCCGCGUUGUAUUAGCUAGUUGGUGAGGUAAAGGCUCACCAAGGCGAUGAUACAUAGCCGACCUGAGAGGGUGAUCGGCCACAUUGGGACUGAGACACGGCCCAAACUCCUACGGGAGGCAGCAGUAGGGAAUCUUCGGAAAUGGACGAAAGGCUGACCGAGCAACGCCGCGUGAGUGAAGAAGGUUUUCGGAUCGUAAAACUCUGUUGGUAGAGAAGAACGUUGGUGAGAGUGGAAAGCUCAUCAAGUGACGGUAACUACCCAGAAAGGGACGGCUAACUACGUG
This 497-nucleotide ribosomal RNA is filed under the name uncultured bacterium. Its description in RNAcentral is "partial 16S ribosomal RNA". It matches the Rfam family "Bacterial small subunit ribosomal RNA", at positions 28 to 507 of the family's 1533-position model. The record is from RNAcentral.